GACGAACGCUGGCGGCGUGCUUAACACAUGCAAGUCGAACGGUGAAGCGCCUUCCUUUUUGGUGGGUGUGGAUGAGUGGCGAACGGGUGAGUAACACGUGAGUAACCUGCCCCCUUCUUCUGGAUAACCGCAUGAAAGUGUGGCUAAUACGGGAUAUUCUGGGUCUGUCGCAUGAUGGGUCUGGGAAAGAUAUUGUUUCGGUGGGGGAUGGGCUCGCGGCCUAUCAGCUUGUUGGUGGGGUGAUGGCCUACCAAGGUGGUGACGGGUAGCCGGCCUGAGAGGGUGGACGGUCACACUGGGACUGAGACACGGCCCAGACUCCGACGGGAGGCAGCAGUGGGGAAUAUUGCACAAUGGGCGCAAGCCUGAUGCAGCGACGCCGCGUGAGGGAUGGAGGCCUUCGGGUUGUGAACCUCUUUCGCCAGUGAAGCAGGCCUGCCUCGUUUGUGGGUGGGUUGACGGUAGCUGGAUAAGAAGCGCCGGCUAACUACGUG
RNAcentral lists this ribosomal RNA (494 nucleotides) under uncultured bacterium. RNAcentral's name for it is "partial 16S ribosomal RNA". It matches the Rfam family "Bacterial small subunit ribosomal RNA", at positions 28 to 507 of the family's 1533-position model. The record is from RNAcentral.